Molecule: ribosomal RNA, 257 nt
Filed under: uncultured bacterium
Lineage: Bacteria
Description: partial 16S ribosomal RNA
Rfam family: Bacterial small subunit ribosomal RNA
Source: RNAcentral
UACAGAGAGAGCAAGCAUUAUCCAUCCUAACUGGGUGUAAAAGGUGCGUAGGUUAAUAUUAGAUAGAAGACUAGAUGAUAAUUGCUGUGUUGGCAGGCGUUUCUAGUACCAAGUAUUUUGAGAUGCAGAGAGGUUGUUAGAACACAUAGUGUUCAAUUGUUCAGGAAACUGUCGAUCUUAUGGAGACUACCUAGAGCGAAGGCAUCCAACCUGCUGUAGUCUGACACUAAGGCACGAAAACGUGGGGAGCAAAAGGG